Long non-coding RNA from Cyanistes caeruleus (blue tit), 2413 nucleotides. The record is from Ensembl. Lineage: Eukaryota; Metazoa; Chordata; Aves; Passeriformes; Paridae.
GGACUGGACACACAGCCAGACACUGGACUGGACACACAACCGGACACACAACCGGACACACAACCGGACACUGGACUGGACACACAGCCGGACCCGAAGAGGCUGGACAGUGCCCGGGGAUCUCCUCAUCCAUCACCAUCCUCAGCCUGGGGGGAAUGGCGGGAAACGAGGGAGAAAAUGGCGGGAAACGAGGGAGAAAAUGGCGGGAAAACAGAGGGAGAAAAUGGCGGGAAUGUGAGGGAGAAAAUGGCGGGAAAAUGAGGGAGAAAAUGGCGGGAAAACGAGGGAGAAAAUGGCGGGGAAAUGAGGGAGAAAAUGGCGGGAAUGUGAGGGAGAAAAUGGCGGGGAAAUGAGGGAGAAAAUGGCGGGAACAUGAGGCAGAAAAUGGCGGGAAAAUUGGGGAAAGGGAGAAAAGGAGGGGAAAAACGGGAGAAGAGGCAAAAACCUGGGAGAAAGGAAGGAAACGAGGGAGAAACUGAAGGAAAACUUGGGAAAAACUGGGGAAAAACCGGGAAAAACCAGGAAAAACCGGGAAAAACUCGGGAAAAACUCGGGAAAACCCGGGAAAACCCGGGAAAAACUCGGGAAAAACUCGGGAAAAAACGGGAAAAACCCGGGAAAACCCGGGAAAAACUCGGGAAAAACUCGGGAAAACCCGGGAAAAAACGGGAAAAACCCGGGAAAACCCGGGAAAACGAGGAAAGGGGGGGAAAAUCCUUCCGGAACAUUCCCGGCAAAUCCGUGUCCAGGUGGGGCCGCCAUGAGGGCCGGGCUGCAGGAGGGCGACCGCAUCGUCAAGGUGAACGGGACGAUGGUGAGCAACAGCUCCCACCUGGAAGUGGUGAAGCUGAUCAAGUCCGGUGCCUACGUGGCCCUGACCCUGCUGGGAUCCCCCCCCGGAUCCCUGGGAAUUCCGGGAUCCCAGCAGGAGCCGGAGCCCCCGGGAGGUCCCCAAGGGCCCCCCCAGCUCAUCACCGAGCCCAGGCCCCUCCAGGUGAGCCCCAGUUCCAGAGGCAAUCCCAGAAUUCCAGAGGCAAUCCCAAAAUUCCCUCAGGGAAAUCCCAAAAUUCCAGAGGCAAUCCCAGAAUUCCAGAGGAAAUCCCAAAAUUCCAGAGGCAAUCCCGAAAUUCCAGAGGCAAUCCCGAAAUUCCAGAGGAAAUCCUGAAAUUCCAACAGGGAAAUCCCAAAAUUCCCUCAGGGAAAUCCCAGAAUUCCAGAGGCAAUCCCAGAAUUCCAGAGGAAAUCCCGAAAUUCCCUCAGGGAAAUCCCAAAAUUCCCUCAGGGAAAUCCCAAAAUUCCAGAGGCAAUCCCAGAAUUCCAGAGGCAAUCCCAGAAUUCCAGAGGCAAUCCCAGAAUUCCCUCAGAGGCAAUCCCGAAAUUCCCUCAGGGAAAUCCCAAAAUUCCCUCAGGUGACCCCAGAUCCUCCCCAGGAGAUCCCAAAAUUCCUUGAGGGGAUCCCAGCCCCCACCCCAGGCCAAUCCCACAUUCCCACAUUCCCAUUCCCAAUCCCACAUUCCCAUUCCCACAUUCCCAUUCCCAUUCCCACAUUCCCAAUCCCCGUUCCCAUUGUUCCCACAUUCCCAUUCCCAUUUUCCCAUUCCUAUUCCCGUUCCCAUUUUCCCCCAUUCCCAAUCCUAUUCCCAUCCCCCCAAUCCCAUUUUCCCCCAUUUCUAUCCCCAUUCCCACAUCCCCAUUCCCACAUUCCCAUUCCAUUCCCACAUCCUCAUUCCCAUUUUCCCAUUCCCAUUCCUGUUUUUCCAUCCCCAUUCCCCCAUUCCCAUUUUCCCAUUCCCAUCCCCAUUGCCAUUCCCAUUUUCCUGUCCCCAUUCCCAUCCCCAUUUUCGCUCAUUCCCAUUUCCCCAAUCCCAUUCCCAUUCCCAUUCCCAUUUUCCUGUUCCCGUUUUCCCAUUCCCAUUCCCACAUUCCCCCAUUCCCAUUUUCCCCAUUCCCAUUUUCCUGUCCCCAUUCCCAUUCCCGUUUUCCCCCAUUCCCGUUUUCCCCAGUUCCCAUUCCCGUUCCCCAUUCCCAUUUUCCCAUUCCCAUUCCCAUUUUCCUGUCCCCAUUCCCAGUUCCCAUUCCCCCAUUCCCAUUCCCCCAUUCCCAGUUCCCAUUCCCGUUUUCCCAUUCCCAUUCCCCCAUUCCCAUUUUCCCCCAUUCCCAGUUCCCGUUUUCCCGUUCCCAUUCCCCCAUUCCCAUUUUCCCAUUCCCAUUUUCCAGUUCCUGUUCCCAUUCCCAUUCCCCUAUUCCCAGUUUCCCGUUUUCCCAUUCCCAUUCCCAUUCCCAUUCCCAGUUCAUUCCCAGUUCAUUCCCAGUUCCCAUUCCCCCAUUCCCAUUCCCAUCCCCAUUCCCAUUCCCGUUCCCAUUCCCCCAUUCCCAGUUCCCAUUCCCAGUUUCCCAUUCCCCCAUUCCCAUU